UAGUAUAUCAAAUUUCUUUGAAACCUGGUCCACAAAAAAUAUAACGAAUAGUGCUCCCUUGUCUUGUAGAGUUGUGGUGCUGCUGCCACUGGAGCACAACCAAAAAAGUUUGGACUCCUUAUAGUGGGUUACGCAAUUGACAUGUACUGUGCCACAAAGAUUUUUAAGUAAAAAGAUUGAUUCACGCACUAUGUAAUAAAAAGGAGAAUUUCUGCCGUGAACAGUGACAUACUAGAAG
Molecule: long non-coding RNA, 238 nt
Filed under: Hordeum vulgare
Lineage: Eukaryota; Viridiplantae; Streptophyta; Magnoliopsida; Poales; Poaceae
Description: long non-coding RNA (HVUL_LNC017788)
Source: RNAcentral